AAAUAAAUAGAAUUUAUAAACAUUAAAUCUUAACAACAACAACAAUAACAAACACAACAAUAACAACUGACAUUACUAAGUUACAUACAUGCUUUCCUAACUAACAUUAAACAUUUUAAUAAGAAAUUAGAAGAGAAGAGAUUACAUUAAAGAAUCAACCUUGAAACAUUGUUAUUCUCUUGAAGUUCAUCCUAGAAAAUGGUUUUGUACUUCAUACAACUACUUUCGUUAUAAUUUUUUUCACCACAUUAAGUUUACAUAUUACG
RNAcentral lists this long non-coding RNA (266 nucleotides) under Lathyrus oleraceus (garden pea). Its description in RNAcentral is "Pisum sativum (pea) long non-coding RNA (PSAT_LNC014572)". Lineage: Eukaryota; Viridiplantae; Streptophyta; Magnoliopsida; Fabales; Fabaceae. The record is from RNAcentral.